AUUGAACGCUGGCGGCAGGCCUAACACAUGCAAGUCGAACGGUAACAGGAAGCAGCUUGCUGCUUCGCUGACGAGUGGCGGACGGGUGAGUAAUGUCUGGGAAGCUGCCUGAUGGAGGGGGAUAACUACUGGAAACGGUAGCUAAUACCGCAUAAUGUCGCAAGACCAAAGAGGGGGACCUUCGGGCCUCUUGCCAUCGGAUGUGCCCAGAUGGGAUUAGCUUGUUGGUGGGGUAACGGCUCACCAAGGCGACGAUCCCUAGCUGGUCUGAGAGGAUGACCAGCCACACUGGAACUGAGCCACGGUCCAGACUCCUACGGGAGGCAGCAGUGGGGAAUAUUGCACAAUGGGCGCAAGCCUGAUGCAGCCAUGCCGCGUGUAUGAAGAAGGCCUUCGGGUUGUAAAGUACUUUCAGCGGGGAGGAAGGGAGUAAAGUUAAUACCUUUGCUCAUUGACGUUACCCGCAGAAGAAGCACCGGCUAACUCCGUG
RNAcentral lists this ribosomal RNA (490 nucleotides) under uncultured bacterium. RNAcentral describes it as "partial 16S ribosomal RNA". It matches the Rfam family "Bacterial small subunit ribosomal RNA", at positions 30 to 507 of the family's 1533-position model. The record is from RNAcentral.